AUGGAUUACAUAAAAUUCGAUCAUGGAUUACAAAAAAAAAAAAACAUAAAAAAACAAAAAAUUCGAUCGUGGAUUACAAGAACAGAAAAAAACAAUUCGAUCAUGGAUUACAAAAAAUUCAAUCAUGGGUUACAAAAAAAAACAAAAAAUUCGAUCAUGGAUUACAAGAAAAAAAAACAAACAUUUCGAUCAUGGAUUACAAAAAAAAAAACAAAAAAUUCGAUCGUGGAUUACAAAAAAAGAAAAAA
RNAcentral lists this long non-coding RNA (248 nucleotides) under Amborella trichopoda. Its description in RNAcentral is "long non-coding RNA (ATRI_LNC003124)". The record is from RNAcentral. Lineage: Eukaryota; Viridiplantae; Streptophyta; Magnoliopsida; Amborellales; Amborellaceae.